GACGAACGCUGGCGGCGUGCUUAACACAUGCAAGUCGAACGGAAAGGCCCUGCUUUUGUGGGGUGCUCGAGUGGCGAACGGGUGAGUAACACGUGAGUAACCUGCCCUUGACUUUGGGAUAACUUCAGGAAACUGGGGCUAAUACCGGAUAGGAGCUCCUGCUGCAUGGGGGGGGGUGGAAAGUUUCGGCGGUUGGGGAUGGACUCGCGGCUUAUCAGCUUGGUGGUGGGGUAGUGGCUUACCAAGGCUUUGACGGGUAGCCGGCCUGAGAGGGUGACCGGCCACAUUGGGACUGAGAUACGGCCCAGACUCCUACGGGAGGCAGCAGUGGGGAAUAUUGCACAAUGGGCGGAAGCCUGAUGCAGCAACGCCGCGUGCGGGAUGACGGCCUUCGGGUUGUAAACCGCUUUCGCCUGUGACGAAGCGUGAGUGACGGUAAUGGGUAAAGAAGCACCGGCUAACUACGUG
Molecule: ribosomal RNA, 468 nt
Filed under: uncultured bacterium
Lineage: Bacteria
Description: partial 16S ribosomal RNA
Rfam family: Bacterial small subunit ribosomal RNA
Source: RNAcentral